RNA transcript from Anolis carolinensis (green anole), 3524 nucleotides. It is a transcript of the gene named neuropilin and tolloid like 1, with no coding region annotated. The record is from RefSeq and is a predicted model, not a curated record. Lineage: Eukaryota; Metazoa; Chordata; Lepidosauria; Squamata; Anolidae. The transcript is spliced from 11 exons.
GCUUCGGGAAGCAGCAGGUGUUGGAGGAGGAAGGGCGCGUGGAGAAGCCCCCGUUUUCUGUGUCCACUUGCCUCUUUCCCCUCCCCACUCCGCCGCCUCUGAGUGGACCAGAAGGAAAGGAAAGGAGGAGGAGGGGGGGAGGGGAGCAGAGGCUGGCUGGCAGGGAAAACCCCGGCGCGGAAAGGAAGCAAGGAAGGAGGCGAAGGAGCCGGGACUGCGGACUUUGCCCUUGGCAGCUGCGAGGAGAAGCGGCUCCCGCAAAGCAGGCGCUCCGAAAGGACGGACCUCUCCUCCCCCUGUUUUCUGAGCCUCCGAGUUUGGUCAGACCCCACCCCCUCCCUCCCUCCUUCCUUCACGCCUUCCUCUUCCUCCUCUCUCCCGGCGUCUGCUUUUAGGAUGGAGCUUUGACUGGAAGGAAGCACAACACCACCUUCUCAGGAUUCCUCCCUAAACUUUUCUCUUCCUCAGCCUCCUCUGCCUCCAGCUGCUCUGCUCUGGCGAAUGGGAUAAUUUGGACCCCGGAGAAGGAGGGGGCGGCAGGAGGGGUCCCCUCUCUCGCUUGAAGGGCGACCCCACUCCAGCCUGGACUUGUUUCCUCCUCGUCCCAGGUGCUCCUCUCCUCCUUCCGCCCCAAGGAGGGCGAGAUGGAUUUGGUCGAGGGUUAAGGGAUUUCGCCUCUAGGAAGAAGAAGGAUUGCAUGGCCCCGGCGAAGGAGACGCAGCCCCUGGUUGGGUGAAUGAACCAAAGCCUUGCCCUCAGCUCGCUCUUUUGGAAGAACUGAUGAGGCACCCCGGGGCCCCGCUUUGGAUGCAUCGCGGCUAUCCCGAGGCCUCGCCUCUCUCCCGAGAAGCCUUGGGGCUCUUGGUGGUGGUGUACGAAACCGGCGAUUAGAGGGGACUGAGGAGCCAAGACUUCCCUCCCUCCCUCCCUCCCUUCUGCAGCCCAAGGGGUGGCUCUCUCUCUCUCUUUCUAUCCUCUCUUUCUAUCCUCUCUCUCUCAGCUCUCUCAGCUCUCUCUCUCUCUGUCUGUCUUUCCUCCCCGCUCCUGGGCGAGUUAUGCAGACUCUCCUCCUCCUCCUCCUCCUCCGCGGCUGGUAGGACCCGAUGCUGUUGGCUGGAGCCCGGGGCUCCGGAGAUGGGGGGCUGAGGGGGCGAGCCAGAGAUCCCGCGGGGGCCCAGUCGGCGUGGACUUGAGGCGCGCGUGGGCUGCCGGGCUGCCCUGCUCCCGCCCUCCGCCUGCCGCUGGAAGAAGCCCUCCCGUCUGUCUCUAAAUGGAAUUAGUGGAGAGCGGAGCCCCUGGUGUAAGGAACAGACAUGAUCCAUGGGCGCAGCUUGAUUCACAUUGUAGCAAGUUUUAUCAUCCUACAUUGGGCUGGGGCAACAAAAAAAGGAGCAGAAAAGCAAGCCACUUCAGAAGGACAAAAAACAGUGCAGUGUGGAACCUGGACAAAAUACCCAGAAGGAGGCAUCUUCACUUCUCCCAAUUACCCCAACAAAUACCCUCCUGACAGAGAGUGUGUCUACAUUAUAGAAGCUGCUCCAAGACAAUGUAUUGAAUUACACUUCGAUGAAAAGUAUUCCAUAGAACCUUCUUGGGAGUGUAAAUUUGAUCACAUCGAAGUGCGGGAUGGACCCUUUGGCUUUUCCCCAAUAAUUGGUCGUUUCUGUGGACAACAAAACCCACCUAAAAUAAAAUCCAGUGGCAGAUUCCUGUGGAUUAAAUUUUUUGCUGAUGGUGAACUUGAAUCUUUGGGAUUUUCUGCACGAUACAAUUUCACACCUGAUCCAGACUUCAAAGAUCUUGGUGUUUUGAAACCAUUGCCAGUUUGUGAGUUUGAGAUGGGAGGAUCUGAAGGAAUUGUGGAAUCUGUGCAAAUUGGAAAAGAAGGGAAAGCUUCUGACAAUGAGGCAGUAGAUUGUAAAUGGUAUAUCCGAGCACCUCCACGAUCCAAGAUAUAUUUACGAUUCUUGGACUAUGAAAUGCAGAAUUCUAAUGAAUGCAAAAGGAAUUUUGUGGCUGUCUAUGAUGGAAGUAGCUCAGUGGAGGAUUUAAAAGCUAAGUUUUGCAGCACUGUUGCUAAUGAUGUGAUGCUGCGCACAGGUCUUGGAGUAAUCCGCAUGUGGGCAGAUGAAGGCAGUCGAAGCAGCCGAUUCCAGAUGCUCUUCACAUCUUUCCAAGAACCCCCCUGUGAAGCCAACACAUUCUUUUGCCAUAGUAAUAUGUGUAUUAAUAAUACAUUGGUCUGCAAUGGACUUCAGAACUGUGUGUAUCCAUGGGAUGAAAAUCACUGCAAAGAGAAAAGAAAAGCCAACCUGUUGGACCAGCUUACCAAUACCAGUGGGACAGUAAUUGGGGUAACCUGUUGUAUUGUGGUUCUCCUUAUCAUUAUCUCUGUUAUAGUACAAGUCAAACAGCCUCGUAAAAGAUUUGUCCAGAGGAAAGCAGACUUUGAUCAAACAGUAUUCCAGGAGGUGUUUGAGCCUCCUCACUAUGAGUUAUGCACUCUUAGAGGGACAGGGGCUACAGCGGACCUUGCAGAUGUUGCAGAUGAUUUUGAAAAUUAUCAUAAACUGCGUAGAUCAUCUUCAAAAUGCAUUCAUGACCAUCACUGUGGAUCACAGUUAUCUAGCACUAAAGGCAGCCGUAGUAACCUCAGCACAAGAGAUACACCUAUCUUGACAGAAAUUCAACCUCAGCCUGUAAAGCCCCUGAUCCAACCCAUGAACCGAAGAAAUAUCCUUGUCAUGAAACAUAGCUAUUCACAAGAUGCAGCAGAUGCGUGUGAGAUCGAUGAAAUCGAAGAGGUACCGACCACGAGUCACAGGCUGUCCAGACACGAUAAAGCUGUCCAGCGCCAUAACAUUCCAGGUUCUGCCUCAUUGGGUCUCUAAACAAACAUGAAUCUGAGUACAACACAACUAGGGUGUAAAAGACAGACUAAAGACUGCUUGAGAAUAGUGCGAUCCUGAGUGAUUUUGAAUAUGCUACAGUGAAUUGUGAAAACCGGCCCUGGAACUACCAGCUAGAGAUGUUCUGGACUCUGACCAGCUAUUCCAAUUUCAUGAAAAAAAUCAUCAGUCAGUAAUGAGUAAACCUAACGGAUGGCAAUAAGACUCUUAUUACUUAUCAUUGCUAUCAUUUAUUCUUACUAUUACAGUUUUUUUUCCUUUAUUUAUACUUUUUGUUUGCUCUGUUUUGUUUUGUUACAAAGAAAACACUACCCAAUUUCAGGAAUAAAUGAUCAAAUCAGGUAUUUACCCAUUCACAAUCACUUCACUAGAAAUAUUUGUUAGAUAUAAAUCUAACAUUAUAACUGAAUUUGACUCUCAGAAACUGAUUUGCAUGUAUGUUGCUGAAUAUUUGAGUUGGCCAGACAGCAAUGGCAAGAAAUCCCUUUGAUGAGAUACAUUGUAAAAAGCAUGCAAUCAUAUUACUGCUGUUCCUAUCCAUUUCUUUGUGUCAUAUGCUUGCUAAUUGUAACUUUUUAUAUAAAGAUACAUAAAACAAUGUAUAAUAAUUUCUUA